This 405-nucleotide ribosomal RNA is filed under the name uncultured bacterium. Its description in RNAcentral is "partial 16S ribosomal RNA". It matches the Rfam family "Bacterial small subunit ribosomal RNA", at positions 28 to 526 of the family's 1533-position model. The record is from RNAcentral.
GUUGAACGCUGGCGGCGUGCCUAAUACAUGCAAGUCGAGCGAAGCGGGGACGGGAUGGUAACACGUGGAUAACCUCCUAUAAGACUGGGAAAACUUCGGGAAACCGGGGAUAAACCGGAUACUUAGAGAUGGAGACGCGCCCGAUUCGCUAGUUGGUAAGGUAACGGCUUACCAAGGCUAGGAUGCGUAGCCGACCUGAGAGCGUGAUAGGACACAUCUGAGCUGUGACACGGUCCAGACUCCUACGGUAAUCAGCAGUAGGGAAUCUUCCGCAAUAGGCGAAAGCCUGACGGAGCAACGCCGCGUGAGUGAUGAAGGUCUUCGGAUCGUAGAGCUCUGUUAUUAGUGAAGCGUUACCUAAUCAGACAGCCACGGCUAACUACGUGCCAGCAGCCGCGGUAAUAC